This 228-nucleotide long non-coding RNA is filed under the name Homo sapiens (human). RNAcentral describes it as "HSALNT0216275". The record is from RNAcentral. Lineage: Eukaryota; Metazoa; Chordata; Mammalia; Primates; Hominidae.
AGGCUUUCAAUGACGAAAGGAGGACUCGGAGUUGUAUGGAAACGUGAUCCUGAAGCCCUGUGCAGACGUGCAGCUGCCCACAGUGGCCACAGACAGCUGAGGCUGUGAGGCGACCACAGAGCCCACGCCCUCCUGAGCCAUAUUCUUGAACAGCCCAUCUCAAGUGUGACUGCCCCAAAAGACCGGUUUAAAAUGGAAACAACUUCUUUGGGUGAGCAGCGGGAGCAC